This is a long non-coding RNA of Leucoraja erinaceus (little skate), 5907 nucleotides long. RefSeq lists it as uncharacterized. The transcript has 2 exons. Lineage: Eukaryota; Metazoa; Chordata; Chondrichthyes; Rajiformes; Rajidae. The record is from RefSeq and is a predicted model, not a curated record.
CAUGGGAAAGACUCAACAAUUGGGUCUUUUUUUCCCCAGAGAGCUUCUGUUUAAAACACCCUGUAAAGCAGACCAGGUCGAUUUUAAUUUCAUUGUCAACAUUAGCCUCACCCCCUGCCAGCUCCACAAAGUCUGAAGAUACUACUCGUGAGUUACGAGAGGGAGGGUUUAGCAGCUAUUUGCUUUCAGAGUAACAAAGGUUUUACAUACCAUUCCACGAUCGUGGAGAACAUUUCACCCAGCCAAUCAGUCGUUGAUCAUAGUUUAUUUUUCAGUAAGAGAAUUUGCACUACUAAUUUUCAUUCUGAAUAUUCAGCAAAAAUGGCUGUAGAGUUAACUUCAGUCAUAUUUUAAUUUUUAAUUUUACAAUUCAGUUGGGAGAUGGAAAACUGUUUGAAUGAAGCAGUGAUUGUAAAUGUUCUGAACCCAAGAUAGCCUGGGCUGACUGGAUCAGCAGAUUAGGAGAAUAAAACAAUCCUGUCAUAAAGUUUUAGUGAAGUCCUACUGUACUUAAUGAGACACAUAACAGGGCCUGAACACGCCACUUACAGCUGCAAAGCCUUACAAAAAAUGUUGCAAACCCUGAUUAAUCUCUGUAUUGCUCUUUCCUACAACCCACUGUGGCUAAGUUUGAGAUUCCAGGUCAGGAUCUUGCAAGGUACUGGGAAAUGAAAACUAAAAUCUAAUGGGCCUGUCCCACUUAGGCAAUUUUUCAGGCGAUUUUUCACGGUGCAAAGCUAAAGUGAUACAGACACACGCCACGAUGAGCAGAAAGGUUGGCGCUGUAAUUAAGACGGUGAAAGCACAGUGUACGGGAAGGAUCAGUUAAGUCCUUUAAAAGGAGGGGGGGAGGAAGGGGGAGACGGGAUGGGGAGAAGAAGUGGAGAAGCCAGAGAUACACGGCUGUGAAGCUCGGCAGACAUUAACAUUACCGGUCGGUUUUCCUUGGUUCUGAAAACCACUGUUUACGUUUUUUUCCCCAAUGAGCCAAUGAAAUUCACCGGUCAGCACCGGCUACAACCUACGAUCUCCUGGCAACCCACUACCACUACACCUACGGCACAAGAAUUCUCGCUACUCUCCAUGGCGGCUUCAUUCCGGUCACUGCUAAUUUUCCAACUUGUUGACAAAUUAGGGGUGACCAGAAUGAAGCCGCGACUAGUUCCGAGAAUGCGGGAACUCCUCACGAUCAUGAAGGCGACUUUCCGGCAACCACCUGCGAACAUGUGGUGACCAUGUGGUGGCCGCAUAGUCUCCUGUAGUUGCCUAAAAAGUCGCCUAAGUGGGACAGGCCCAUUACUGUUUCUAUCAGGCAGCAUUAUAAGCAUUAUCAGUUAAAGGAAAAUGAUGAAAUGGGGACAGAAAUUCUACAGAAACUGCAAGCACAUCAUUAAUCCAUAUGCAUAGCAAGGAAAAAAGUACAUGUCGCCAGAUCCCAGGUGUCCUAAGCAAGCAAAAUUUCAACAACUAAAGACGAAAGAACACAACCAAAAAAACUUCUGCAGCAAUUAAACAGCCAGAAGAGCACACAAAGAAAAUUACUUCCCCAAUAGGAUUUGAUUUCCCACAAAACAGCACAUUUUACUGGACAGGCUGGGGAUCCUUUUUUAAGCUUUUACUUAAAAGGUUUAUUAAUCUUUAUUAUAAAACUGACCUAGGGCCUAAACACGACUCAAACGUUGAAAAUUAAUGCUAAAAUGUAAUCAAAACAUUUCCAAAUAAAGAUGAGAAGCAGAAAAUGAUUACAAAAACACUGUCCCCUUGGAGCAAAAGCAACAAAGAGAAAUCCACCAUGCUCCCUCUGCACUUUAACCAAACACUGAAAUCAUUGCUAAAUUUGGUUAUAGUUUGAACUUUGUACAUAGACUUUCAAAUAUAGUUCCAGUGCAAUUAAGCAGUUAGAAAUAGUUGAACAAGCAACAAUUCUGGCAUGUUGCCUUGCUGGCGUUCAAAUACUUUGAAACCAUGCUGCCAUAUCUUCAGAAAUUAUUUUCUGAUUGUAAUUCCACCCCCUAAACCAGGCAGAUGCAUAUUGAUAAAUGUGCAGUGCUGUUUACUAUUAUUAGAAAGAGACCAUAAUUUAAUCCAGGCACUAUACAGGAAAUAACUAAACGUAUCCAGAUACAAGCAUGAUACAGUUGAACCAUGCUAGAAAAUAAUCCAGUUCAGACCAACGUGUAAUAAUCUGAAAGGUAUCAGGGAAUUAUCAUCAAUGUACUGUCUCAGGAACGACAAGCAGCAAAACACAAGCUCUCUGCAAAGCAACUUUUCCAUGGUCGGGGCAUGUUUACGCAUUUACUCUUGAUAUCUAUAGAAACCUGUCAAUUGCUGGGAGGAGAACUCCCUUUUGCCCUUUCCAGAAAGCCGUGCUUGCUUUUAUAGAAUGGGCGCAUUCUUCUGUAAACAGAGCUUAUAGAUCGUCCAGGGCUGCCACAUAUACGACAUUUCUAUGUCCAAACCAGCUGAUUUAAUGCUUCACAGGCUCCUCCCAACUGUGAAGGAUAAUUAUCUGCUAAUUCUUUUGAGCUGGCUCAAACAGUGACUCAGGUCACCAAACUCUUGCAGAAUAAAUUUAACGUUCUCAAUACUCUGAACAUUUAAAAGCAUUAUGUAUCACCUAUACUACAGAGCAAAUGCUUAACUAUAUAUCUUCACUCAGCUAACAUUCUGAAUUCCAUUUUGCAUUUUUUUUGUCUUAGAGCCUUAUUGUAUGCAAGUCGGGUCAUGCAGUGUUCAUGUCCAUUUCUAACAGUCACACAGAUAUAAAUCUCAGCGCACCAUUCCUGGGGAAUAGAAGCUCAGCUACGGUCUCCUGAAGGAUAAUACAUAGUCUUACCAACUGCAAUGCUAUCAUCAAUCAGUUAGAAACUAACACAUUUAAUUGCAAACAAAACCUUCCACUAUCAGAAAUGAAAAUAUAGCCUUCUUCCAUUAAUAUAUCAAAUGUGUCCAUAAUUUAUUCGUCAUGACUCCCUCACUUUGAUUUUCACGCGUGUAAACAAUACAAAGGUUUGCACACAUUUUCGAGACACCUCGUUUGCAAUUGUGCUAAGGACCGUUCCUAAUCUCCAUCAUUUCUCCUGACCUCCAUGCAAACCUCACAACUGGCCACAGGCAUCCAGCAUCCAUCACCACUCAUGAAACCUAAGCUUGCAGGGACGGACAGCUGCAUGUGGCAAUAGCUGAACAACUAUUUUUUGUAACUGGGCACUGCUGAACAGCAGGAUGUGUCAAUUACUGGCAACAACCACCUAGUACUUCAGUUGUGCAUUUCAAGAGUUACAAAACACCAAAAACACGCCAGAGAGAAUUCUGAGAGUACUUGCCUAUUUUUACAAACAUUAGACACAAGCAUUUUCUUGCGUUAAUCUUUGAUCACUUGAUUAUAAUGCAAGUGUUUCUGAUAAGUCUGCUGCAUGCAUUUUAAAUAUGUAAGCCUUUUAUCUGUGAACUAUCAUGAUAUAAAUUGGCUAUUAUAAAUUACCAAAGCGUUGCGAUGCGAUAAAAAUGUAGUUGUCUCUCUAUAAGAUACUGACAACAUUAUGCAAAGAAUUUGGGGCCAGUAGAAUGGUAGGUGAUCUUAAGCUAAAUUCCAAGUUACCAAAAUGGCAAACUGGUUAGCAGCAGCAGCAGCUCAUCUGAAGAAUGUAUAGUGUUUCCUCAUGUCUAGACCAUUUCACAUUUGUCACAAUCAUGUUUUAAUAGUAACAAAUUUUAACCUACAUAGGCAAUAUUAAUACUAGACAACUGUAACAUUUCCCUUAAAACGUUUUGAGGGUGCAGUUCACCUGUUAAGCCAAAAAGGAAAACCACUUUGCUGUGCAAGGCUAGUGCCACAAUUAUCACAUCUAUUGCACAAGAUCUCACUAUGUACAGAACAAUGUGCUAAUUAAAAUGUAUUCAGUUUAGCACUUCACUCGCUGAGUUAUUUCGCCAGAUGACUCCUUUGACAUUUGAUGCUCUCUUUGAAUGCUGUGUUUGAGGCCUUUUAAGGCAGAGUAUGAAACCAAACUGAUUUUGCUGUUCAUAUCUGUUUGAUUAUCUUUUUUUUUUCCUUUUCAAACGCUGAUUGAAAAUAAUGCAGUGGAACUUAUAUUACAUCAAAAAAGCUGCAAGUUAAGGAAAACAGCGUGGGGAACAAAAUAAAAUCUGUAUAUAAAUAUGAUUACAGAGGGGGGGAAUAAGAGCAAAGGAGAGUUGUAAUAAGCCGUGCUGUCAGUAUUGGUUGCACAAUGAGCUCCGCCUACCAAAGUGUUCAUCAAUCAAAGGGAAAAUAAGUCUCCAGGAACAGGAUAUUACAGGCAUUUUGUUCAGUGAAUACUAGACAGAUUCAAACAGUGCCUCCCUUAAUCAAAUCCCAAGAAGAACAGGUGGGACACAAAUGCUGUGCUCUUUCCCUUUUCUUGGAUAUGCACUGUUCAAAACUAUAGCUUUCCUUCAACAAAAACUGCUGUUGGGAAUAUUAGGCUAGACUUAUACAAAACUACUUCUGUUGUCUUAAAAUAUAACUUCUCAAGAGCAAGACGUUGGUCAGAUGGGUUCACAAGGUAAAGCUCAGCACCUCCAGAAAUUCAUCAUCAAAUUUCUGUGUUACUGUAUAUCCGUCACAGAGAAGCUUUCAGUGUAGUCAGUUGGGGGAAAUAGUUUUUGCUCUAGGUAGUAAAUCAUUGAUAAUUUAUGAGUGAAUAUUUUUAAAGCACUACUUGAUUCCAGUCCAGUGGAUGUGGUUACACAUUGAGAAAGGUAUGCUGUGGUUUCGCUAACACAUCACUGCCUCAGCUCUGAGAGCUACUGUUAGCCAUCUGUAACAAGAUUAAACAAAAGGUACGAUGAUGAAGGAAGUUGAAAAGAAAUGAUGAGGCCCUUACACGAUCACAAUCACUGAACAUUCAACCCUAGUCUAAUUUGUACCUUCUCACACAGAUGAACACAGCACCUGUUAAAAUCAUCACUGCAUUCUCAGGCUAAACCAUCAAGAAUUAACAUGUAGAGCGAUACAGUAGAUUAAAAAAGUAAUGAAUUUAACAUAGUUAAUAUGUCAUAAAUUGCAUUAUAGAUGAUUGAUAGUGUAAUAUCACAACCUAUCAUCUUCUCAAUCUCUUGUAAAUAAAUACAAACUAUUACAAAGCUCCCAACACAAAAAAAACAGCUCCCAAUAGUCACACUUAAAUCUACUGUGGACACAAGAUUAAGAAAUCAGAUCAAAGUCGAAAGAUGAUAUUGUUCUAAUGUUCAAUGAAACUUUCAUUCCUCUAUGUUGCUGUGUUUUCCACAUACACUGCCCUCCCACCUUCCAAAAAACAGAGUGAUAGUGCAAAAGGCCAUUGAAAGUAAAUCUCCUUUCAAGCUGUCAAAACGAUUUGUGGCAGCUGCACUUAUUUCUUAAAAAAAUAGACAUUUUUGUAACAUUGGGAGUUAUUAAAACUAACCCAAUUGCAAAUAUAAUUAUGCGAGUUAAAUAUAAUAAUGGCAUUUAAAGGUUUGCAUUUAACGUUUGCAGUGGCCCGGGGUCACGUUUAAGAAAAGUUGGCAGCGUUAGUUGCUGGAGGAGUGAGUUGCGAGCGCUUGGAGCCAGUGCGGUGACUGGACACCGGCUCCCAGCGGACGCGGAGACCCCCGCAACCGUCCGGCCAGCACCAGGGAGAGGGUCGACACCUGGUGGGGAACCGGGCUCUGCGAUCGUGUGUUUCCCAAGGCAACAGCACCGAAUGCGGGGAAAGAGAGAGCCAGGAGCAAGACACAAUAAUGUAGCAGGGGAGGACACGGAGACUGUGUAACAGGGAAAUGUACAUGCAUCCUAUAUACAAGGCAUCGAACGGAAUGUUCCGGCCGUCCCUUGCAAAGAAAACUGAACGCUCCUCGGGAUUAUUUUUACGGGCAAUGUAAUAAACCUAGAGUUUAAAUUCU